This 1352-nucleotide long non-coding RNA is filed under the name Zonotrichia albicollis (white-throated sparrow). RNAcentral's name for it is "lncRNA (ENSZALG00000003066.1)". The record is from RNAcentral. Lineage: Eukaryota; Metazoa; Chordata; Aves; Passeriformes; Passerellidae.
ACCCCGCUGUCCCCUCCCCGCAGUGUCCCCAAGCUUGGGGACAUUCCCUCACCCGCUGGCGCUGUUCCUGCCGCGUCUCCUCCAGCUCCCGGCUGAGUUUUCCCAGUUCCUGGAACGCUUCCAGGAGUUGGGAAUCGGGCGCGACGCUCCUCAGCAGGAUGGAGCUCUGGCGCUUCGCCUCCUUCUGCUGGACCAGCAUCUGGAAGCACGGGUGUCACCUCAGUGUCACCUCAGUGUCACCUCCUUGUGUGCCACCCACCUUGGUGUCACCCUCUGGAGAGGCUGGCAGUGAAUCCCAGCCGGCUCCAUGCAGGAAAACCACAGUGGGAGAAUCGUGGGAUCAUCCCUUUCCCUUGGGAUCACCCCAUUCCAUCGGGAUGGGUGCCAGGGAUGUGCUGGGACACCCCCCUGUCACCCUGUGCCACUCUCAGCGGUGUCCCCAACCCCUCAGUGUCACCUUCUGGAGGGGCUGGUGGCUCCAUCCCGGGAAACUGUAGUGGGAAAAUCCCAGGAUUUUCCCAUUCCCUUGGGAUCACCCCAUUCCCUUGGGAUCACCCCAUUCCCUCAGGAUGGGUGCCAGGGAUAUGCUGGGACAUCCCAUUGUCACCCUGUGCCACUCUCAGCGGUGUCCCCAACCCCUCAGUGUCACCUCAGUGUCACCUUCUGGAGGGGCUGGUGGCUCCAUCCCGAUAAACCACAGCAGGAGAAUCCUGGGAUUGUCCCAUUCCCUUGGGAUCACCCCAUUCCCUCAGGAUGGGUGCCAGGGAUGUGCUGGGACAUCCCCUUGUCACCUCUCUGCCACCCUCAGUGGUGUCCCCAACACCUCAGUGUCACCUUCUGGAGGGGCUGGUGGCUCCAUCCCGAUAAACCACAGCAGGAGAAUCCUGGGAUUGUCCCAUUCCCUUGGGAUCACCCAAUUCCCUCAGGAUGGGUGCCAGGGAUGUGCUGGGACACCCCCUUGUCACCUCUCUGCCACUCUAAGCAGUGUCCCCAACCCCUCAGUGUCACCUUCUGGACGGGCUGGUGGCUCCAUCCCAGGAAACUGAAGUGGGAGAAUCCUGGGAUUGUCCAUUCCCAUUCUCAAAGUCCCAUUCCCUUGGGAUCACCCAAUUCCAUCGGGAUGGGUGCCAGGGAUGUUCUGGGACACCCCCUUGUCACCUCUCUGCCACUCUCAGUGGUGUCCCCAACCCCUCAGUGUCACCUCAGUGUCACCUUCUGGAGGGGCUGGUGGCUCCAUCCCAAUAAACCACAGCAGGAGAAUCCUGGGAUUGUCCCAUUCCCUCGGGAUCACCCCAUUCCCUCAGGAUGGGUGACCCCAGUGCCACCUCCGUNNNNNNNNNNNNNNNNNNNNN